RNAcentral lists this ribosomal RNA (490 nucleotides) under uncultured bacterium. RNAcentral's name for it is "partial 16S ribosomal RNA". It matches the Rfam family "Bacterial small subunit ribosomal RNA", at positions 30 to 507 of the family's 1533-position model. The record is from RNAcentral.
AUUGAACGCUGGCGGCAGGCCUAACACAUGCAAGUCGAACGGUAACAGGAAGCAGCUUGCUGCUUCGCUGACGAGGGGCGGACGGGUGAGUAAUGUCUGGGAAGCUGCCUGAUGGAGGGGGAUAACUACUGGAAACGGUAGCUAAUACCGCAUAAUGUCGCAAGACCAAAGAGGGGGACCUUCGGGCCUCUUGCCAUCGGAUGUGCCCAGAUGGGAUUAGCUUGUUGGUGGGGUAACGGCUCACCAAGGCGACGAUCCCUAGCUGGUCUGAGAGGAUGACCAGCCACACUGGGACUGAGACACGGUCCAGACUCCUACGGGAGGCAGCAGUGGGGAAUAUUGCACAAUGGGCGCAAGCCUGAUGCAGCCAUGCCGCGUGUAUGAAGAAGGCCUUCGGGUUGUAAAGUACUUUCAGCGGGGAGGAAGGGAGUAAAGUUAAUACCCUUGCUCAUUGACGUUACCCGCAGAAGAAGCACCGGCUAACUCCGUG